This 1387-nucleotide ribosomal RNA is filed under the name uncultured bacterium. Its description in RNAcentral is "bacterial SSU rRNA". It matches the Rfam family "Bacterial small subunit ribosomal RNA". The record is from RNAcentral.
AGAGUUUGAUCCUGGCUCAGGAUGAACGCUAGCGACAGGCUUAACACAUGCAAGUCGAGGGGUAACAGGGUGUAGCAAUACACCGCUGACGACCGGCGCACGGGUGAGUAACGCGUAUGCAACCUGCCUUUGACAGAGGGAUAGCCCAUGGAAACGUGGAUUAAUACCUCAUAGUCUCUUUUUCCUUCCUGGGGAAUAGAGUAAAACGAGAGUGGUCAAAGAUGGGCAUGCGUCCUAUUAGGCAGUUGGCGGGGUAACGGCCCACCAAACCGAUGAUAGGUAGGGGUUCUGAGAGGAAGGUCCCCCACACUGGUACUGAGACACGGACCAGACUCCUACGGGAGGCAGCAGUGAGGAAUAUUGGUCAAUGGUCGAGAGACUGAACCAGCCAAGUCGCGUGAGGGAUGACUGCCCUAUGGGUUGUAAACCUCUUUUCUACUGGGAGAAUAAGCCCUAUGUAUAGGGUGAUGACAGUACAGUAGGAAUAAGCAUCGGCUAACUCCGUGCCAGCAGCCGCGGUAAUACGGAGGAUGCGAGCGUUAUCCGGAUUUAUUGGGUUUAAAGGGUGCGUAGGCGGCUUUAUAAGUUAGUGGUAAAAUUUCGGAGCUUCACUCCGGUCCGCCAUUAAAACUGUAGAGCUAGAGAAUGGACGAGGUAGGCGGAAUAAGUUAAGUAGCGGUGAAAUGCAUAGAUAUAACUUAGAACUCCGAUAGCGAAGGCAGCUUACCAGACCAUAACUGACGCUGAUGCACGAGAGCGUGGGUAGCGAACAGGAUUAGAUACCCUGGUAGUCCACGCCGUAAACGAUGCUCACCGGCCCUUAGCGAUAAGACAGUUAGGGGUUAAUUGAAAGAAUUAAGUGAGCCACCUGGGGAGUACGUCGGCAACGAUGAAACUCAAAGGAAUUGACGGGGGCCCGCACAAGCGGAGGAACAUGUGGUUUAAUUCGAUGAUACGCGAGGAACCUUACCUGGGUUUAAAUGUAUGUUGCAUAAUCUGGAAACAGUUUUUCUCUUCGGAGCUAUAUACAAGGUGCUGCAUGGUUGUCGUCAGCUCGUGCCGUGAGGUGUCGGGUUAAGUCCCAUAACGAGCGCAACCCUUACCGUUAGUUGCUACGCAAGAGCACUCUAAUGGGACCGCUACCGACAAGGUGGAGGAAGGUGGGGACGACGUCAAAUCAUCAUGCCCCUUAUGACCUGGGCUACACACGUAAUACAAUGGUCAUUAACAGAGGGAAGCAAAGCCGCGAGGCAGAGCAAAACCCCAAAAAUGAUCUCAGUUCGGAUCGCAGGCUGCAACCCGCCUGCGUGAAGUUGGAAUUGCUAGUAAUCGCAGAUCAGCAUGCUGCGGUGAAUACGUUCCCGGGUCUUGUACUCACCGCCCGUCA